RNAcentral lists this ribosomal RNA (473 nucleotides) under uncultured Bacteroidota bacterium. RNAcentral describes it as "bacterial SSU rRNA". It matches the Rfam family "Bacterial small subunit ribosomal RNA", at positions 30 to 496 of the family's 1533-position model. Lineage: Bacteria; Pseudomonadati; Bacteroidota. The record is from RNAcentral.
UGAACGCUAGCGGCAGGCUUAACACAUGCAAGUCGAGGGGUAACAGGGAGUGCUUGCACUCCGCUGACGACCGGCGCACGGGUGCGUAACGCGUAUGCAACCUACCUUCUACAGGGGGAUAGCCCAGAGAAAUUUGGAAUAAUACCCCAUACGAUCAUUAAUUGGCAUCGAUUGAUGAAGAAAACUCCGGUGGUAGAAGAUGGGCAUGCGUCCUAUUAGUUAGUUGGUGAGGUAACGGCUCACCAAGACGUCGAUAGGUAGGGGUCCUGAGAGGGAGAUCCCCCACACUGGUACUGAGACACGGACCAGACUCCUACGGGAGGCAGCAGUGAGGAAUAUUGGACAAUGGAGGCAACUCUGAUCCAGCCAUGCCGCGUGCAGGAAGACGGCCCUAUGGGUUGUAAACUGCUUUUAUACAGGAAGAAUUGUACCUACGUGUAGGUAUUUGACGGUACUGUACGAAUAAGGAUCGG